UACGUAGGUGGCAAGCGUUGUCCGGAUUUACUGGGCGUAAAGAGCGCGCAGGCGGUCGUUCAAGUCGCGUGUGAAAGCCCCCGGCUCAACUGGGGAGGGUCACGCGAUACUGAUCGACUCGAAGGCAGGAGAGGGUAGUGGAAUUCCCGGUGUAGUGGUGAAAUGCGUAGAUAUCAGGAGGAACACCGGUGGCGAAGGCGGGUCUCUGGGCCGAUACUGACGCUGAGGAGCGAAGGCCAGGGGAGCAAACGGG
Molecule: ribosomal RNA, 253 nt
Filed under: uncultured bacterium
Lineage: Bacteria
Description: partial 16S ribosomal RNA
Rfam family: Bacterial small subunit ribosomal RNA
Source: RNAcentral